UAUCAAUUAUUGACUUGUUUUGUGAAUUCCAUAGUUUUGUUCUAAAUCUAUAACUUUUUAACAAGAGUGUAAAGUAUUUAAAAAAAAGUAUUUUCCUGUAACAGCUGCGUCCAUCUCAAAACAUUGUUAAAUGUAGUUCUAGCAUAAAUUAGUUAUUAUCAAAAAAAGUAGAAAGGUAUUGUUAUCUACUAUUUGGUCGGGUUGUUAUCUCCUUUACACAUUCCCAAUUUCUGUUCUGAAUUUUAUCAUGAUUUCCAGUUUCGUUUUAUAAUUCGAUUAAGAAGAGAUAACUCAAACGCAAACACUCAAUCUCCUAAGCAAUACAUUAGCACGACUAAAAUAAUUAAUAAAACUAGUUAAAUAGUCACAAUAACGAAUUAGUAAAUCGAUAUGAUGUCUCAAAAGACGACAAUCAUUUUGGAUAAGAAAAAGCAAUAACGAUUAAAGAAAAGUCACAUAGUAAAUCAUCUUAUAUAGAAUGAAAAUGUGAAGUUUGAUCUAACUGUCUA
Molecule: long non-coding RNA, 509 nt
Filed under: Mytilus galloprovincialis (Mediterranean mussel)
Lineage: Eukaryota; Metazoa; Mollusca; Bivalvia; Mytilida; Mytilidae
Source: RNAcentral